UCUGACCUCGUCUCCGACAAUGGCUCAGAAGAUGCACAUGAUGGUGGUGGGAUUAUUCAGAACCUGAAUCAGGAUUCCUCUGACAACAGAUCUGAAGAUGCACAUGAUAGUAAUGACAUUACACAGAACAUGGAUCAGGAUUCCUCUGACAACAGAUCUGAAGAUGCACAUGAUAGUGAAGACAUUACAACCUGCACGCAGACCCUGAAUCUGAUGAACUACCACCAAAUUUGAGGGAAACAACAGAGUCAUCAAUCUUCAGUUUUGCGGACAGUGUUGACUUUGGUGUGUUUGAACCACUAUGGCAGUCUUUUACUGACUCUGAGGCCAUUGGCAGUGGAGAAGAAUUUCCCAUGGAAGACAGCAUUGACAAGUCACUAAAUGAAGAAUCACAUUUGGAUAAUAAUGAAAGGCUUUCUCCAUUAAAUGAUGAGCCACUUUACACAGGCUUACAACUAACCAAAGCACAGAGUUUUUUGCUUAUACUUUUAUAUGCUUUGAGACACUCACUUACUGGUGUGGCCCUGUCUGAUCUUUUAGAUUUGAUUAAUAUUCACUGUCCAGAAAAUGUUCACACUUGAAAGCAUCUGUUCUUACAAGAGCUUAAACAGAUACAGGGUCACUUAGAAUGUCACAUAUACUGUCGCAAUUACAUUGGCGACUAAGUCACUGAUGGGCAGUGUAUUUAACUCUACAUGGGAUAGAAACCGCUCCCUGAAGAAUGGAAAUUUCUUCCUAUACUUA
This is a long non-coding RNA of Clarias gariepinus (North African catfish), 744 nucleotides long. RefSeq lists it as uncharacterized. The transcript has 4 exons. The record is from RefSeq and is a predicted model, not a curated record. Lineage: Eukaryota; Metazoa; Chordata; Actinopteri; Siluriformes; Clariidae.